Molecule: long non-coding RNA, 1281 nt
Filed under: Coturnix japonica (Japanese quail)
Lineage: Eukaryota; Metazoa; Chordata; Aves; Galliformes; Phasianidae
Description: lncRNA (ENSCJPG00005017991.1)
Source: RNAcentral
CACUUGGCAGGCUCCUGUCACUGAAGCAAAUGAGCUCUCUGUUUUGGAGGAUUCACCAAAAUGGGACUUUUCUCUGUCAUGGCUCUCAAAUUAUUCUGAGGAGCUGGUUGUGACCCUUUCAAUGUGGGGGAAUGAAGUGGCCAAGAAAUGGAAUGGCCUGAAAAAAAAAGGUGCCUCUUGGUUACGCCAAGCAACACGGAAAUAAUUUCAGCAUGGAUUGUGCUUCACCUUUGGUUUAUCUUUUCAUAAUCUCACUAUAUUUUAACUCUGGGGUUUGCUUUGCAUUUAAUUCUUUCUACAGUCUCACUUUAUGUUAGAAGAACAGAGUGCUGGUGCUGCAUAAAGAAGAACUGCUGAGAGAAGGUCACAGAAAGCUCACCAGUUUUCAGGUGGCCCAAGGGAAGGAAAGUUGUUCCUCACACAAACGUCUCCACGAGGAGAGCUGCUCUCACCCCACAGCCUUGCUGUGUGGGGAGGACACAGCCAUGGCAGAGGUCUGGGACUUGUUCUUUUCCACAGCCCCCAGUUUACCUGGAGAAAGAGAACAGUUAUUUCAUCCUGAUGGGGCCCUGGAUAAGAGUCUGAAGAGUGAAAGCUGCAGAACUGUGAAGCAAGUUAAUUUCUCUGCCUACUGGAAUAGCAGGGAGGAGUUGAUGAUUGCCGUGCAGGUGAGACCCCUGGACACAGAAGUCACUGACAACAAAGAUUUUCAAAGUGCCUGAGGAGCCUCUAGUGACCUUUCAUAAUUGCUUUCCAAUCGGGUUAGUGAUACAUGCCUUUGUAAAAAAGGUAUGUGUUUGCAUCCCCAGAAACUGAAAUUAGCAUCAGUAUCAGGACUUUUUUUUUUUUUUCACCAGUGAGCAUAGGAGAACACCAGAGCAAAGGGAUGUGUUUUGUUAUAAUACAAAGAAAUAUUUUUGAUAGUAUAGGUGCUAUCAGAAGAUAUGCUUUUCUGCCUGUGUUUGCUUUCUGCAAAGGUAAGGAUGUUGGAUUGUUAUCACCUGUUUUUGCAGAAACAGAAGCUUGGAUUCAAGGUAGCUCUCUGCCUAACUGCCUUGCUUUGGGAACUAGAUUAACCCAAUCCACCUGAGUUGUAACUUAUCUGAUCCCAUGCAUGGGAUUAUUAUGAUCAAGAAGAAUAUAGGCUGAGAUGAAUACUGCAAUUUGACUGCAAGACUACGUACCCUUUUAGGUAUUUAUCUAUUCUUUGAACUGCUGUCUGAAAAUGCGUGUCUUUCUCUCCUUUUGUAAUAAAACUGAAAUUCUAACAGUGGUUCUGCA